GAUGAGAUGGCCGAGAUAGGCGAUAAGCUGUAAAUUUAUUCACGAAAUUCAUUUCUCUCAUCA
RNAcentral lists this transfer RNA (63 nucleotides) under Plagiodera versicolora (willow leaf beetle). Its description in RNAcentral is "tRNA-Tyr". Lineage: Eukaryota; Metazoa; Arthropoda; Insecta; Coleoptera; Chrysomelidae. The record is from RNAcentral.